CCUACGGGUGGCAGCAGUGAGGAAUAUUGGGCAAUGGACGAGAGUCGGAACCAGCCAAGUAGCGGGAAGGAGGACAGCCCUAUGGGUUGUAAACUUCGGGUAUAAAGGAAUAAAACGAGGCACGUGUGCCUGUUUGCAUGUACUUUAUGAAUAAGGAUCGGCUAACUCCGUGCCAGCAGCCGCGGUAAUACGGAGGAUCCGAGCGUUAUCCGGAUUGAUUGGGGUUAAAGGGAGCGUAGAUGGGUUGUUAAGUCAGUUGGGAAAGUUUGCGGCUCCACCGUAAAAUUGCAAUUGAUACUGGCAGUCUUGCGUACAGUUGAGGUCGGCGGAAUUCGUGGUGUCGCGG
This 346-nucleotide ribosomal RNA is filed under the name uncultured bacterium. RNAcentral's name for it is "partial 16S ribosomal RNA". It matches the Rfam family "Bacterial small subunit ribosomal RNA", at positions 338 to 681 of the family's 1533-position model. The record is from RNAcentral.